Leptopilina boulardi is the source of this 448-nucleotide long non-coding RNA. RefSeq lists it as uncharacterized. The transcript has 3 exons. NCBI's taxonomy places the organism in Eukaryota, Metazoa, Arthropoda, Insecta, Hymenoptera, Figitidae. The record is from RefSeq and is a predicted model, not a curated record.
AUGAGGUCUUUUCGGUCCAGUCAACAUUCAAACUCAUAAACGUAUACAUCGUUUAUACUCAUCAAGAAUAUAUAUAUAAUUAUAUCAAAAAAUUUCGUUAUUCUUUAUUCUGAGAUUUUUCAACCACCCUUUUGAAGUCUUCAUGGACCAAAACUGGAUAGACGAGAUAGUAAAUUUAAACAUUUGAUCUUUGAACUGGUUUUCACUGCGGAUGCUGAACCUUUGGACCUGAUCAGGUCUUUUUAAAAUAGUCCAACAGAAGGGAGAAACUGUGGAAGGUGAACUAAAAAGCAGUAUAUUUAGGAAUGCUGAGAAAAGCUGAGCUCUUAUUUAUUUUAGUGAUAUUUUAAAAAAAAAUUUCAUUACUUAUAAGAUUUUUUGUUUAUCUAUGAAAAAUUUUAUAUAUUUAACAAUUACUUUUUAAAGGAAAUAAACGAUCAAAAAUUUU